This 2070-nucleotide long non-coding RNA is filed under the name Panax ginseng (ginseng). RNAcentral's name for it is "long non-coding RNA (PGIN_LNC017601)". Lineage: Eukaryota; Viridiplantae; Streptophyta; Magnoliopsida; Apiales; Araliaceae. The record is from RNAcentral.
CCGUCCCACCCCGCCUCGCCUGGACUGCAGCUGCUACCGGGGGCAGAUGCCUCCACCAGCCCCCCUAGUUCCGCCACUGCAUGUAUUGCCAUCUAUAUUCAGUCUCGGAUCUGCUCUAUUUUUGACUUCUCUUUAUGAAAUAAAUUACAUGUGAUGCUAGGUCUAGUCAAUACAAAAAUUUUGACAUAAUAUUUGCAUAAUUUGAAAUUAAAAUUAAAUAGUUACGACUUUCAACCUGUUUGACGGUUGUCUGAAUCGAAUUCACCCGGUUGAAAAUGACAUCCUUUUUGAGAUUUAGAAAAUCGUAGGGUUAGGGUUUUGUGUUGGCUGAGAAGGAGAAAGAUCCACGAAAAAUACGGAAUUGAUUGAUGAAUUGAAGAGGGGAGAAGAACAUGUGAGUGAUUACUCCAAUGAUACGUGACAAAACUCUUAAGAUCCGAGAACCAUAUUAGGGUAACAAGAGCCUUCUUGAGUGCUUCGGGUUAAGAGAAAAUCUUAAAUCUCCUAUCCUUCUAAUUGAAAAAAUUGAGAAGAUAAUUCUCAAAGUAAAAAAAUAAAUUAAAAGUUCAAUAUAUUAAUUCAUAUUUAGGGGGAAAAAAUUUAUCAUCAAAGUAGAAUUGUUAUUUGAAAUAGAAAAUUUAUCAGUUUCCUUUUUUCGGUAAUUAUUAAAGUAGUUGGACCACACACAUUCUUGACAAUGAUAACAAAAAUUGGGAUAAGGUCCAAAAAUGCCACUGACAUUUUCCCAAUUUUUACCGAGCACCCUAUACUUUUUUUUUAUUCAAAAAUACCCUUAACGUUAUUUUUUGGGUCAUUCGUGCCCCUACCAACUAGACAAAUGGAAUUGACAGUUAGACAUAUUUUGCUGACAUGUCAAAUAAUUAAAACAAAAAAUAUUAUUAUACCAUCUGAUGUGUAUAAAAAUAAUAUUUUAUAUAUAUUUGAUAAAUAUCCCCAAUAUUCUCUUCCACCACCAUCCGCCACCCAUCACCGCCGUCCGCCACCAAGUAAAAAUCAUUCCGUUUUAGAACAAUCGUGCUCCUCAAAUCAAACCCAGAAAACCCAAAAGGUUGAAGAUAAAACCGAGCCCUGUAACAGCAGAGCAGUCCAUCCAAGCCUCCAUAGGCACCAAAACUCAAUUAAAGGAAAACACUUUUGUCCAAGAACCAUCCGAACCAACAUAAAAUCAAUGAACAAAAAAGCAUCAGUUGAUAGGAAAUUAAAACAUUAAUCAACCGAAACAAAUAUAAAAAUAAACCCAGAUUCUGGCGAAAUCAAGUCAAAGAUCUGAGAAAAAAAUAAGCUUAACAAAACAUAUAAACCCAUCCCCAAAUAAGACACAGCAAACCCCAGACCAGAUCCAAAACAAACCAAAUCCAGACUGCUAGAGAAAACCUUAAAGAGAGAGAAAAUAGAUCUGAUGACUGAUAUGAAAAAGAAGAUUUGAAUGGGUUUAGAGAAGACCAACCAGCAACAGAGUUUCUGCAGUCUGUUCCGCUGCGGCGCCGCUCCUGUCUUCUUCUUCGCUGCAGGUUUGCUUUCUUUUUUUUUUCUUUUUUUUUUUAACAAUCUAUCAUUUAGGAAUUAGGGAUUUUAACUCUCUCUCUCUCAAUCUUCAGUCUAACAGUCUUCCGCCUAUCAAGUCUCACCUCUGCGUCUGCUCUGCAGUCUCUGCUCCUGCGGCUCAAUCUUCAGUCUUCCUUAGUCAUCCCUGUCGCUGUGUCGCAUUCUCUUUCCUCGGCUGGUGCUAGUAAGUUUUUUUUUUGUUGGUAAUUUAUAAGUAAUUCUUCAGUUGAUUAUUAAGUGUUACUAUUGUUUUUUUAAUUUUUUUUGGAGAACAGUGUUUUUGUGUCAAUGUGCGCAUGAGUGACUGAGUUUAAGUGUUCAUAUGAAAUUGAAUCUAAUUAUGUAAUGAAAAUAUAACUAAAAAUAUUGAAAUGAAAAUAUGGUGUUAUUGUGUUAGAGAUUGAAAUAUUGAAAUCAUUAAGUUCCUUGGAUGAUUGAAAUUUAGAAAACUACAUUCAAAAUAUUUGAACUUGCAGAUUGCUAAAUAUUACAUUUACACCCAAC